AUAGGAGUCCUUUGGGGACAGAAACUGAAUUCCGCUUGUUAUUAACCUCUCCCCUUCCCUGGGCUGUGCCUUUCACCCGAACUCUGGUCCCGCCUUUCUCUGACACUCAGUUCAUUGGUUAUAUAUUUCCUAACGUUUGGCCUUUUAUCUCUCUCCUUCUCUGAGUGCCUUUUUCACAAGUGAAUUCUUUGGUUCAACAAGUCUCCAUGAAACACAUGCUUGGCAUAAUGCUGGGCCCCAGCAAACCUGAGGUUAUCCUUGUGUUAUCCUCACUCUAUCAAUGAAGGGACAGAAGAUCACCGACUCCUGAGAGCUCCCCGUUACCAAUACCGUCUGCACUGACUAGUGAAGAGAUUUUCAGCUUCAAGCAGCCACAAAGCCUCCCAAGCUGGAUUCAGGAAUUGAGAGAAUGAUUGGUUUGUACAAAUGAAAGAAGCAGGAUGAACCUCGGGUUUCACCCGAGUUGAGUCUGCUCUCAGAACAGGGAUGCCCACUGCCCUGUCCAGUACCAAAUGCUUCUGAGUGAAAGAAAGGAGCCUCUUCUCUGCCAGUGGAGGGAAGUUCUGGGCUGUCCCUCUGGCGCUGUGGCCUCUCGAUCCCCAGCCAGACACUGCUGCAGGAGAAUGGUGAGCUGAGAGGUAACUGGUUCCUCCUCUCAGGCUCUGGGGGAGUCUGUGCUGGAGAACUUGCUGGGAUGAUAUUUGCCAACACGCAGCACAGUGCAGGCCUGCAGACGUGCUGACAGAGGCCGAUUCCUGCUACGACUGUAACUACUUUGUUUCAUAUUCAUGCAUUCAAUACGUAGUCAGUCAGUCAUUCAACAAACACUCGCUGUGCGCACACAGUCAAUGUUCCCAGCACUGUUCCAAGGGCUCAGGAGAGUGUGGUAAACAAAAUGAAACAAAAUCUCUGCUUUCCUGACGCUCUCGUCCCACAAGCAAUGAAUAAAUACACACCUAAUAAAAUUGGAAUAAGAAUAGGGGUGGGUGGGGCUGAGCGGAAUUCUCCGUGUACAGAGCGGCCAGAAAGCAGCGUGUGAGCAGAAGACAGGACAGAGUGAGCCCGGGCCGAGGACAGAAGGGACAGAAGCACCGUGGAGCUCUGUGUUUGCUUUCGGCCCAGGGUCUGCAGAGGUCUGGCGAGGUGCGUCUGCGCGUGUGGCGGGAUAGGACCCUUAGACCUCCGACCUGAACACCACGCGCUCAGCCCAGGUUUUGGUGUGAGCUGUAUUUGGUCAACUGAGAAGUUAAAUUUUGCUGUGUGCCUGGAACCUGCAAUUCUGCAUCUGUUUGAAGGCUCAUUUUCCGUGUGAUCCACCAGCAUAAGAAGGUCAUCACAAAAUUUGCGAUGCAUCAUCAGUGGUUCCAGGGAGCCACUCCACCGUGCGGAGGGGCCAGGGUGGAGAUGUCAGGGGUUCCUCUUGCUGGACCAUGAGUGACGGAGAACAGCCCGUAUCGUUGCUCCUCAAGGGUGGGGAAGCAGUAAAACAUCAGGGAUAGGCCUGCAGGUGACAACAAAGGACAGGUCAGAGUUUACACGGUCGCUGACACAUGUAAGUAUGGGCGCUUCUUGGGUUACAGUGGAGCUACGUCCUGAUGAGUACCAAGAGCUGACAGUGUCACAGUUGCCAUGCACUGGACUCGUCUGUCUGCCAAACACCACAGCCCGUCCUGAGCUUCUCAGGUCUGCUCUGGGCACUCACCUUCGCUUGCCUUUGGGUAAAACCAUCUAACACAGGGCCUAUCUUACAAUAAAGCGUGGAUUGACCAUGAAAUUUACCCACUGCUGUUCUGAAAGUAAAAGGCAGAAUGGUGUGUGGAUGUGCUGUGGUACUAUUCUAAAGCCAAAAACUCAAAAACCAACUACUAUAAGUUGAAAACUUUCAGCACUGGCUCUCAGCAGCCUCGGACAUUACGAUAAUGUGAACGUGAUGCUCAUAGAAGUUCAUCCCGCUUAUUUUGCCUGAUUCACAGCUUCUCAUUGCACCUUGACUUAAAAAAAUCUGAUCUUUCCUUUAACACCAGUCAAAUAGAGUGAUGGAUCUUCAAGGGCACUGACUGUCCUGCACCAGACUUGUGAGCAGCUCCCCUCAGCCUGUCCCACUGAAAUUGAGGGCUGUGGGGUUGGAACAUGUGUGGUGCCCGUCAUUUCAUUGUUCAAACCUUGAGAAGUGGAAAUUUCUUUGCAGGUGUUCCAAUAAUUACUUCCAUAUGUCACAUUCACUGCUUCCAAAAGCAGGCCAGGCCUUCUCUAACCACGUAAGCAGCUCUCUGGGGAGACCAGCACUCGGUCCCCAACUUGACAUUUGCCACUGAGAGCGGCAAAUCAUGUGAUAGACUGUCCACCGCGAGACAGGAUGUGAGGCCCCCGGAAAUGCAGCUUCUUGCUGAACACUGUCCUGCAUGAUCGGAACCCCAUGCACUUCCUCGCUCCACUCGAAAGCCAUGACACUGUCGAUCACAAUGGCAGAAGUAAUUGGCAUCGAUUCAGAUGCAGACCUGGCCACAGAUGUGCAACCCACUGCACGUUUGAUUGUUUUUUUCUCUUUGCCAGUAUAAGUGAACUCUGUAAAGAUGUGAUUAAUGCCCUGUAUGUUGUUAAAUCCUCUGCAUAAAAACAGCUUGUAGCACAAAACAAAUGUUCAGUAAAUGAUAAAUACUCAAUGAAUAAAUGAAUGGACGUCAUCUGACUUCCCAUAGUACACAUGAGGGGCUUCCAGGUGGACGCGCCUCGAGGGGUGGAAACCUCCGGUCUGGGGAAGUGGUUUCCGCCCAGUUCUGCUCACUGGCCAGGCAUGGUCCCCACCUGCUCACCAGUCUCCUUGUUACCCGAUAUUCCUUAGCAUUGGGCUCUUCAGGAGGAGAUGUGAGCAGAAAGGUCAGAACAAAUGCGCAGUGAAUAAAAAUGGAGGGGAGAAUAUUAUAGGACUAAAUCCUCAAAAAGUGGUAGGUAUCAGCUGUUUGAGAGGGGGAAAGAAAUCUUAACUUCAAGUUUGGAUAUAACCAGGAACAAAAGGCGGUAGGUACUACGUGGGAUUUCCUUCACUGCUUCCGAGACCCUUCCCUAUCUUUUGUCUUAUUUGCAUGAAGACAGAAAUAAUCCACCUGUAAAAUAGAGAAGGGGUUGUUUUACAG
RNAcentral lists this long non-coding RNA (3134 nucleotides) under Heterocephalus glaber (naked mole-rat). RNAcentral's name for it is "lncRNA (ENSHGLG00000043068.1)". The record is from RNAcentral. Lineage: Eukaryota; Metazoa; Chordata; Mammalia; Rodentia; Bathyergidae.